This 88-nucleotide transfer RNA is filed under the name Candidatus Nomurabacteria bacterium RIFCSPLOWO2_01_FULL_33_24. Its description in RNAcentral is "tRNA-Ser". It matches the Rfam family "tRNA". From Rfam's summary of the family: Transfer RNA (tRNA) molecules are approximately 80 nucleotides in length. Lineage: Bacteria; Candidatus Nomuraibacteriota. The record is from RNAcentral.
GGAGGGUUCGCAUAGUGGUCUAGUGCGCUCGCUUGGAAAGCGAGUAGGGGGCAACCCCUCAUGGGUUCAAAUCCCAUACCCUCCGCAA